UACAGAGGUCUCAAGCGUUUGUUCGGAUUCAUUGGGCGUAAAGGGUGUGUAGGUGGCGCGCUAAGUCGGGUGUGAAAUUUCGGAGCUUAACUUCGAAACUGCAUUCGAUACUGGCGUGCUUGAGGACUGGAGAGGAGACUGGAAUUUACGGUGUAGCAGUGAAAUGCGUAGAUAUCGUAAGGAAGACCAGUGGCGAAGGCGGGUCUCUGGACAGUUCCUGACACUGAGACACGAAGGCCAGGGGG
Molecule: ribosomal RNA, 245 nt
Filed under: uncultured bacterium
Lineage: Bacteria
Description: partial 16S ribosomal RNA
Rfam family: Bacterial small subunit ribosomal RNA
Source: RNAcentral